UUGAAGUCCUAACCCCUAGUACCUGUGAAUGUGACCUUAUUUGGAAAUAGGGUCUUUGCAAUAUAAUCAAGUUAAGAUGAGGUUAUUAGAGUGGGCCCUAAUUCAAUAUGACUGUGUCCUUAUAAAAAGGGAACAUUUCACCCAGAGACACAAACACACACACAGGGAGAUGCCAUGUAGAACAUAAAGAGGCAGAGAUCACGGAGAUGCAUCUACAAGCCAACGAACACCAAAGAUUGCAUCAAACCACCAGCAGCUAGGAGAGAGGCGUAGAACAGGUCCUCCCUCACUGCCCUCAGGAGGAACCAACCCUGCCAGCUACUUGGUCUCGGACUUCCAGCUGCCAGAACUGUGAGAUCAGAGAUCUCUGUUGGUUAAGCCACCCAGAUUGCCAUACUUUGUUAUGGCAGCCCUAGCAGGCUACUAGAGGCUUCAACCUGAAGUUAGCAAGACCGAGCAGAUGAGAGUGGAGAAUGGGUGUUGCUUGGGAAGUGCCCAGGGCUGGCUUGUUUGCAUGGAGACUUGAGGAACCAUUCACAAUUCCUGGGGAUUCACACAUAAAGAAAGAACAUCAGCAGACAGCAUCUCUGACAUUAGAACCAGAAGAUUUUUGUUUAAGGAUCACUUAAGAUGUUUUUCAGACUCUGAAUUCCAGCAACCAGUUUGGAGACCCCAACAGAGGAACAGGAUCAGCCUGAGAAUACAGCUUCUUCGUCUUCCUGUCCCUGCACUCUUUGACCCUGCACUCUUUGACCAAUCAAUGAUUUGCAUACUUUGGCCCACUCCAAAACCCUUAAAAACUCUAAACCCAACUUUGUUGAGGAGAUGGAUUUGAGGUCUCCUCCCAUAACCUCGUUAGGUGACUGUAUGAUUAAACUCCUUUCUCUGCUGCAACGUGGUUUUUUGGCAUGUUGACUUGCUGUGUGCAUUGGGAAACAGACCUAUUAGGGCUACACCAGGGACCCUCCUGCUACCACUCAGCAGGUUUAGGGGCAAGAGUAGAUACUUAAAGAACGAAGAGUCAGAUUCUUGGCCCCUGUCU
RNAcentral lists this long non-coding RNA (1042 nucleotides) under Homo sapiens (human). RNAcentral describes it as "HSALNT0141119". The record is from RNAcentral. Lineage: Eukaryota; Metazoa; Chordata; Mammalia; Primates; Hominidae.